UGGGGAAUAUUGGACAAUGGGCGAAAGCCUGAUCCAGCCAUGCCGCGUGUGUGAAGAAGGUCUUCGGAUUGUAAAGCACUUUAAGUUGGGAGGAAGGGCAUUAACCUAAUACGUUAGUGUUUUGACGUUACCGACAGAAUAAGCACCGGCUAACUCUGUGCCAGCAGCCGCGGUAAUAAAGAGGGUGCAAGCGUUCAUCGGAAUUACUGGGCGUAAAGCGCGCGUAGGUGGUUUGUUAAGUUGGAUGUGAAAUCCCCGGGCUCAACCUGGGAACUGCAUUCAAAACUGACUGACUAGAGUAUGGUAGAUGGUGGUGGAAUUUCCUGUGUAGCGGUGAAAUGCGUAGAUAUAGGAAGGAACACCAGUGGCGAAGGCGACCACCUGGACUAAUACUGACACUGAGGUGCGAAAGCGUGGGGAGCAAACA
Molecule: ribosomal RNA, 427 nt
Filed under: uncultured bacterium
Lineage: Bacteria
Description: partial 16S ribosomal RNA
Rfam family: Bacterial small subunit ribosomal RNA
Source: RNAcentral